This 303-nucleotide unclassified non-coding RNA is filed under the name Hevea brasiliensis (rubber tree). Lineage: Eukaryota; Viridiplantae; Streptophyta; Magnoliopsida; Malpighiales; Euphorbiaceae. The record is from RNAcentral.
AUGCAAAAUCGUAUAAAGCUAAAUGAGACAGAAGAGAAGAUCUUGAACUACGUGAAUGAAGUAUGUUAGCCCUUUUUAAUUCACAUUUCUGUGGAGGAAAGUGGCCUUGCAUUAGCUAAUGGCCUCGCUUGCAAUUUCAGCUCUGUGAUCGAUUACCUAGUCCAAAUGGAGAAUCAACAGUUGAUUGUAGCAGUCUAUCUUCAAUGCCUCAUAUCUCAUUCAUAAUUGGUGGUAAAGUGUUUGGCCUAAGGCCAGAGCAGUAUGUGCUUAAAGUGGGAAAGGGAGUUUCAGCUCAAUGCAUUA